CCUACGGGUGGCAGCAGUGGGGAAUAUUGCACAAUGGGGGAAACCCUGAUGCAGCGACGCCGCGUGAGUGAAGAAGUAAUUCGUUACGUAAAGCUCUAUCAGCAGGGAAGAAAAUGACGGUACCUCCGUAAUAAGCCCCUGCUAACUACGUGCCAGCAGCCGCGGUAAUACUUAGGGGGCGAGCGUUAUCCGGAUUUACUGGGUGGAAAGGGAGCGUAGACGGAGAGUCAAGUCUGGAGUGAAAGGCCGCAGCUUAACUGCGGAACUGCUUUGGAAACUGGAGAACUAGAGUGCAGGAGAGGUAAGCGGAAUUCCUAGUGUAGCGGUGAAAUGCGUAGAUAUUAGGAGGAACACCGGUGGCGAAGGCGGCUUACUGGACCGUAACUGACGUUGAGGCUCGAAAGCGUGGGGAGCAAACAGGAUUAGAUACCCGAGUAGUC
Molecule: ribosomal RNA, 440 nt
Filed under: uncultured bacterium
Lineage: Bacteria
Description: partial 16S ribosomal RNA
Rfam family: Bacterial small subunit ribosomal RNA
Source: RNAcentral